CGAACGCUUCUUUCCUCCCGAGUGCUUGCACUCAAUUGGAAAGAGGAGUGGCGGACGGGUGAGUAACACGUGGGUAACCUACCCAUCAGAGGGGGAUAACACUUGGAAACAGGUGCUAAUACCGCAUAACAGUUUAUGCCGCAUGGCAUAAGAGUGAAAGGCGCUUUCGGGUGUCGCUGAUGGAUGGACCCGCGGUGCAUUAGCUAGUUGGUGAGGUAACGGCUCACCAAGGCCACGAUGCAUAGCCGACCUGAGAGGGUGAUCGGCCACACUGGGACUGAGACACGGCCCAGACUCCUACGGGAGGCAGCAGUAGGGAAUCUUCGGCAAUGGACGAAAGUCUGACCGAGCAACGCCGCGUGAGUGAAGAAGGUUUUCGGAUCGUAAAACUCUGUUGUUAGAGAAGAACAAGGACGUUAGUAACUGAACGUCCCCUGACGGUAUCUAACCAGAAAGCCACGGCUAACUACGUGCCAGCAGCCGCGGUAAUACGUAGGUGGCAAGCGUUGUCCGGAUUUAUUGGGCGUAAAGCGAGCGCAGGCGGUUUCUUAAGUCUGAUGUGAAAGCCCCCGGCUCAACCGGGGAGGGUCAUUGGAAACUGGGAGACUUGAGUGCAGAAGAGGAGAGUGGAAUUCCAUGUGUAGCGGUGAAAUGCGUAGAUAUAUGGAGGAACACCAGUGGCGAAAGCGGCUCUCUGGUCUGUAACUGACGCUGAGGCUCGAAAGCGUGGGGAGCAAACAGGAUUAGAUACCCUGGUAGUCCACGCCGUACACGAUGAGUGCUAAGUGUUGGAGGGUUUCCGCCCUUCAGUGCUGCAGCAAACGCAUUAAGCACUCCGCC
This 840-nucleotide ribosomal RNA is filed under the name Enterococcus faecalis. RNAcentral's name for it is "bacterial SSU rRNA". It matches the Rfam family "Bacterial small subunit ribosomal RNA", at positions 63 to 873 of the family's 1533-position model. The record is from RNAcentral. Lineage: Bacteria; Bacillati; Bacillota; Bacilli; Lactobacillales; Enterococcaceae.